This 1386-nucleotide ribosomal RNA is filed under the name uncultured bacterium. Its description in RNAcentral is "bacterial SSU rRNA". It matches the Rfam family "Bacterial small subunit ribosomal RNA". The record is from RNAcentral.
GAGUUUGAUCCUGGCUCAGGACGAACGCUGGCGGCGUGCCUAACACAUGCAAGUCGAACGGGACCGGGGGCAACUCCGGUUCAGUGGCGAACGGGUGCGUGACACGUGAGCAACCUGCCCGACGGUGGGGGAUAGCCGGCCUAACGGCCGGGUAGUACCGCAUGACACCCCGGGGUCGCAUGACCCUGGGGUCAAAGCCGCAAGGCGCCGACGGAGGGGCUCGCGACCUAUCAGCUAGUUGGUGGGGUAACGGCCUACCAAGGCUACGACGGGUAGCUGGUCUGAGAGGAUGGCCAGCCACAUUGGGACUGAGAUACGGCCCAGACUCCUACGGGAGGCAGCAGUGGGGAAUAUUGCGCAAUGGCCGCAAGGCUGACGCAGCGACGCCGCGUGUGGGAUGAAGGCCUUCGGGUUGUAAACCACUGUUGGGGGGGACGAAUGCCCCGCAAGGGGAUUGACGGUACCUCCAGAGGAAGCACCGGCUAACUCCGUGCCAGCAGCCGCGGUAAUACGGAGGGUGCAAGCGUUGUCCGGAAUCACUGGGCGUAAAGGGCGCGUAGGCGGCUCGAUAAGUCGGUUGUGAAAUCCCGGGGCUCAACUCCGGGGCUGCAUCCGAGACUGUCAGGCUCGAGCAUGGUAGAGGCGAGUGGAAUUCCCGGUGUAGCGGUGGAAUGCGUAGAGAUCGGGAAGAACACCAGUGGCGAAGGCGGCUCGCUGGGCCCAAUGCUGACGCUGAGGCGCGAAAGCGUGGGGAGCAAACAGGAUUAGAUACCCUGGUAGUCCACGCCGUAAACGAUGGGCACUAGGCGCCGGGGGGAGCGACCCUCUCGGUGCCGUCGCUAACGCAGUAAGUGCCCCGCCUGGGGAGUACGGACGCAAGACUGAAACUCAAAGGAAUUGACGGGGSCCSSCACAAGCGGUGGAGCAUGUGGUUUAAUUCGAGGCAACGCGAAGAACCUUACCUGGGCUUGACAUGCACGUGUAAGCCGGUGGAAACAUCGGCCCCUCUUCGGAGCACGUGCACAGGUGCUGCAUGGCUGUCGUCAGCUCGUGUCGUGAGAUGUUGGGUUAAGUCCCGCAACGAGCGCAACCCUCGCUCUUAGUUGCCAGCAUUAAGUUGGGGACUCUAAGGAGACUGCCGGUGACAAACCGGAGGAAGGUGGGGAUGACGUCAAGUCAGCAUGCCCCUUACGUCUUGGGCGACACACGUACUACAAUGGUCGGGACAAAGGGCAGCGAACUCGCGAGAGCCAGCGAAUCCCAGCAAACCCGGCCUCAGUUCAGAUUGCAGGCUGCAACUCGCCUGCAUGAGGGAGGAAUCGCUAGUAAUCGCCGGUCAGCAUACGGCGGUGAAUUCGUUCCCGGGCCUUGUACACACCGCCCGUC